GAAAUGCGAUAAGUAAUGUGAAUUGCAGAAUUCAGUGAAUCAUCGAAUCUUUGAACGCACAUUGCGCCCCCUGGUAUUCCGGGGGGCAUGCCUGUUCGAGCGUCAUUUCACCACUCAAGCCUCGCUUGGUAUUGGGCAACGCGGUCCGCCGCGUGCCUCAAAUCGACCGGCUGGGUCUUCUGUCCCCUAAGCGUUGUGGAAACUAUUCGCUAAAGGGUGUUCGGGAGGCUACGCCGUAAAACAACCCCAUUUCUAGGUUGACCUCGGAUCAGGUAGGGAUACCCGCUGAACUUAAGC
RNAcentral lists this unclassified non-coding RNA (297 nucleotides) under plant metagenome. RNAcentral's name for it is "partial contains 5.8S ribosomal RNA, internal transcribed spacer 2, and large subunit ribosomal RNA". The stretch from base 1 to 105 matches the Rfam family "5.8S ribosomal RNA", at positions 50 to 154 of the family's 154-position model. The record is from RNAcentral.